RNAcentral lists this ribosomal RNA (382 nucleotides) under Xylophagus ater. Its description in RNAcentral is "partial 12S ribosomal RNA". Lineage: Eukaryota; Metazoa; Arthropoda; Insecta; Diptera; Xylophagidae. The record is from RNAcentral.
GAUACCCUGUUAUUUAAAAUGUAAAUUUAAAAAUUAAAGUAGUAUUAGAUAUGUUCUUGAAACUUAAAGAAUUUGGCGGUAUUUUAGUCUAUUCAGAGGAACCUGUUCUAUAAUCGAUAUUCCACGUUGAAUCUUACUUAAAUUUGUUUUAAUUUGUAUACCGCUGUUAUAGAAUAUUUUAUAAGAAAAAUAAUUUUCAAUAAUUUAUAUAAAAAUUAAUGUCAAGUCAAGGUGCAGUUUAUGUUUAAGAAGAAAUGGGUUACAAUAGUAUUAUUUAUUACGAAUAUAAAAUUUAAAUAUUUUAUUGAAGGUGGAUUUGAUAGUAAUUUUUUAAAGAUUAUAGAUUUGAUUUUAGCUCUAAAAUAUGCACAAAUCGCCCGUC